CUCCGUCGCCGUGGAGACGGUGAAGCUAAGUUAGCUUCAAACUACUCGAGUUGCCGACAGCUACGCUCGUUACUAGCCAUGGGGUGAACACCAUGCUAGGAUCAAUACAGGCCCCAUUAGGGACCCCUAUUGGGUCUGGCUUCUGAGCAUCGACCCACCCACCCCGGUCUGUGAAGAGACCCUACAGGCCACAACCGGCUGCUACAGCACUCGUCCAUCUCUCCAUCGAGCCGCAGCUCCUAAAGCUUCCUGUGAGAGAACAGCCAAGCAGCUGUUUGCCAGUGGGACGGGACUAUAAUGCAUUCAGAGUUGCAAUGGAUUGUGGCUGAUUUCUGAGGCGUUCGAAUUUCAUUUGCAAAUGUGUUUGUGCAAAAUAAAGCAGGGAUGAGACAGA
Long non-coding RNA from Micropterus dolomieu (smallmouth bass), 394 nucleotides. RefSeq lists it as uncharacterized. The transcript has 3 exons. Lineage: Eukaryota; Metazoa; Chordata; Actinopteri; Centrarchiformes; Centrarchidae. The record is from RefSeq and is a predicted model, not a curated record.